AACAGUCCAUGUUAAGCACUCAAAGUCCUGAGUCUGGACCAUGCAGGUCAGUCCUGGGUACAGCUGGAUUCUCUCACCUGUUGGAAAGGAGAGGACUGCAGCGGGUGACGGCAGGCAGGAAGGGAACCUUCGGGAGCCUGUCAGUGAAUUGCUCUGAUGGUGCCAGAGGCCAACAGUGGGGACCAAGUGUCCCACAGGCAGAUCCCCAGCGCUGAGGAGGGAAGGAAUGAUGAGGCCCAGAGUAAAACAGGCCACCAGUGUUUGUUCCAAUAGCAAUAACACACGGAGAAAGCCCUCACACUGUGAUGGUGUUUGGUCUCUUUGAAGCUCUGAAAUCCAUGAAUUCCCCAGGGCAGGUGCUAUUAGCUUCCCUUUGGAAGAGAGGAUCAGUGAGCUUCCCAGGAAUCUGUGAGGUGGGGGCCCUCCCCACAUACCAGAAUCACUGAGGCCCGUCCCGAUGCACCCUGUCCUGCUGCACCCUGUCCUGCCCAUGCCCAUCCUGUGCUACCUUUGCCCUGGUGCCAGGAGAAACCUGUCCACCCAAAACAUGCGGAGGCGCCUGGCUGCCCUGCUUACCCUCCCCCCACCCCCCCAGGGCAGCCCAGUGGGCAGGACGGCCUGGCUGGCUCUGCUUGGAGACACUGAGUGUCACACAGCAACAGUAUCCCACCUUGGGCCUUUACCGCAGGUCCUCACCCUCCCACCCCUGCCAUGGCCUCCACUGGCCCAGGAGACGCUUCAGCCUCUUCCUGUCCUCCCCUCCCCUCUCCUUGAUCCUCCCCUCUACCCAGAAACAUUCCUCCUGCUCCACAAAGAAGAGCUCCUCUCUUCUCUGCUCUGUGGCUUUCUGGAAGGAAGCACCACCUCUCUCAGAAAAACAAAAAAAAUGGAAUAUUUAAAAAUAUGUUUAAAGGGAAAAAAAUGAACACAAAAGAUAAACUACAGAAAUCGAAGUCACAAACACGACACUUCAUCUCAUUCUGGAUCAAAAAAAAAAAGAAAAGAGAAGACAAGACAAGAAAAGAAAAGAAAAGAAAAGAAAAGAAAAGAAAAGAAAAGAAAAGAAAAGAAAUGGAAGCCAGGUAUUAUGCCAUGAUAACUAACUGGCCCUUCAUUCAUUCACCAAAUACUUACUGGGAACAUGCCGAUGCCAGAAAAAGUGCUAAGGACCAGUCCCACAGAAUGUACAAGUGACCGAGAAGUCCUCUUAGUCCUUGCAUUCAUAGUAUAGUCCAUUGGGAGCAAGAGACAUUAGAAGCAGGGAUGCAGGCAGACAAGAGAGCUUUGAGGAGGCCCACCAGGCCUGUCUGCAGGGGACUAAAGGAGGCCAGCAUGCCGAAGCACACCUAGCAAGAGGCUAUGGCAUGCGGCAGUGGCCACAGGGCUCAAUGUGGACCAGACCACAAGAGGCUUGCAGAGUACACAGCAAGCCGGCAGCCUGGGCUCCCUUCCCACUUGCCUAUAUUCCAUCCCGAAAGUAUCCUUUUCUGUGCGAUUUCCAUUCCUAGGCGAGCUCCCUGAGCUGGGCAGCACAUCUGAGAACUUGUGCCUGGGGCUUGGCACAGAUUCCACCAGGUCCUCCAUUAGAGUCACUGUUUCCUCUUCCCCCUGCUGAAAGGAGGUGAUCAUCCUAUUUUGUAGCAGGCAGUGGGUUACUUACUGUGUUAAACACCUCAUGUAUGC
This is a long non-coding RNA of Microcebus murinus (gray mouse lemur), 1683 nucleotides long. Lineage: Eukaryota; Metazoa; Chordata; Mammalia; Primates; Cheirogaleidae. The record is from Ensembl.